AGAAUUUAGAAAUUUUAAAUUUUUAUUUGUUAUGAAUUGUCAAAUAUAACUUGUAUUAAGUUUUAAAUUAUUAGUUUGUGCACCACUGAGUUCACCACUCAGCGAUAGCUUUGUAUGCUAUCGCAGGUGAAAGGAAUACUAAAGCAGCAGAGCAAGAUUUCUAAAAAGACAUAGUGAGACUAACUUCGGGUAUAUCAUAGUUGAAAAGAAUACCGGGAAAGAACCCGAGGGAUCGAGUCAAGGUCAAGAGGCGACUCGCUUAAGAUAUAGAGACUAGAGGAGCAGCAGAGUGGGCUGCUGAGGAUUGAGGAGCUACCUACUCUGAAGUUUAUCGGGUAUAUUUUUAUAUCAUGAUUGUAAAAAUUAUUUUGAUGUAUGUAAUGUAUGUAAAUGUAGAAAAUAGCCAAUGAGCAGUUGUAUAGAGUUGUAUUAAGCUUGUAAUAAAAUUUGGUUUGGAUUUUUUCUAAUGUAAAUUUUUGUAAUAAUGUAUAUAAAUUGUUUUAUCUUUAAUGAAAUAUGAA
Long non-coding RNA from Hevea brasiliensis (rubber tree), 521 nucleotides. RefSeq lists it as uncharacterized. The record is from RefSeq and is a predicted model, not a curated record. NCBI's taxonomy places the organism in Eukaryota, Viridiplantae, Streptophyta, Magnoliopsida, Malpighiales, Euphorbiaceae. The transcript has 3 exons.